UACGUAGGCAGCAAGCGUUGUUCGGAGUUACUGGGCGUAAAGGGUGUGUAGGCGGUUCUUUAAGUUUGCUGUGAAAUCUCCCGGCUUAACCGGGAGGGUGCGGUGAAUACUGAGGGACUAGAGUACGGGAGAGGAAAGUGGAAUUCCUGGUGUAGCGGUGAAAUGCGUAGAUAUCAGGAGGAACACCGGUGGUGUAGACGGCUUUCUGGACCGUAACUGACGCUGAGACACGAAAGCGUGGGUAGCAAACGGG
RNAcentral lists this ribosomal RNA (253 nucleotides) under uncultured bacterium. RNAcentral's name for it is "partial 16S ribosomal RNA". It matches the Rfam family "Bacterial small subunit ribosomal RNA", at positions 524 to 776 of the family's 1533-position model. The record is from RNAcentral.